CUCAAAUCCAUCUUCAAGGUGAGGCCCUCCUGGUAGUCCUCUACCUCUCCAUUUUGUUCUCCAACCUUGGUGGUGGUUUGAUCGUCUAUUCGUCUUCAAGGCUUCCUCCAAUCGUUGGCUCCAUAUCCUAGACACAGAGGUUCUUGCUGGUUUCCUCCUGCUCUAAAGACCAUAAGGUAAGAUAUUUAUUUUGAUAUUUUGGUCUCUCUUUUCUCAGCUUUUUUUGAAAUUUUUCUUCUAUGUUCAUCUAAAAUUCAUGGAUGGUUAAUCCUCUUUUUUUAUUAUUUUUUUCUAGAUUUUUCUUGGAUUUUUUUGUCCCUGUUUUCUCGGUUUUUUCAUGGAUUUUUUUCUUUCUAUUUUCUUCUAAAAUUCAUGGAUGGCUUAAUUUUCUAUUUUUUGAUUUUUUUCUCUAGAUUUUUAUUGGUAUUUUUUAGUCCCUCUUUUCUAAGUUUUUUCUAGGAUUUUUUUUUCCUAUAUUCUUCUAAAGUUCAUGGAUGGCUUAAUCCUCUAUUUUUUUUUUGUUUUUUAGGUUUUUCUUUCGAUUUUGUUGUCUCUAAAUUUUUCUUUGGUAGGUCAUGGAAAUAAUCCAUUUUUUCUAUUUUUUAUUAUUUGUUCACUUGAUUUGGAAUGGGAUUUGAAAUCAGAUCAGAAGCAUGCUGUUUUUUUGUUGUUUCUUUUAUCUGUAUUGUCUCUUAAGCCUAUGAUAAUCAGAGAAGCAACUAUUUGAUAAUUUUCUGGAUGUCAAGAUAUGUCAGGAUGAGAAAAACAAAUACAAAUUUUAAUUGGAUCAGCAAUAGCUGCAAAUCUGAAAAUCUGAAAAUGAAUGGUUUACUUGUGUAAUCUUUGCAUUUUAUGAAAAUCUAAAAUGCCUUUUUUUGUCAUACUUUCAUAAUAUUGGAUAUUUUAUUUUAGCUGCCACUUGUAUGAGAUGUUAGCUAUAUCUAAGAGUCAUAUAUAAGAAAUUCAAUCUCUGAAGUCGGUCUUGGUAUGAACUCUAAAGUCGGUCUUGGUAUGGCCCCCAAGCCAAAAAUGGUACUGGUGUAAUAUGGUACGCCCAGUUUGGGACGGUACACAACGGUAUGGGAAUCAUGUUUCCUAGUUUAUUUUGCAAAAUAUAACUCCCACCCUACCUAAAGGUUAAAGCCAAAGGUGCUACCAUAAUAUAUUGAAGAAUAUUUUGUUAGUUCAACAAAUAACCUUUCUGCACUGCUAACCACAACUUGAUGACUAUUUUUCUUUUUAUAAGCAGCUUCCAGAAAAACAAGCCCAAUACAGAUAAGAAAUGCCAACAAGCUAGGCAAAUGCGUUAAAAAAUGGGAUUUGUAGUAGGACUAAAGAAAGCGCUAAGGGAGGACAAGGAGUGAAGUACAGAUAAAAAUAGUAUAAUCAUGUCUAAAUAAAAUUCUAUGGGCAUAGCAAGGCUCAAAAGGAAGAGGGAUUUCACUUGUUUACAAGAAUUGAUUCUAAAGAGAGAGAAUUUGAGAAAACUGGACUACAUUAGAAAUUAAGAAGCCUGAAAAUGUUCUUGAGACAAUAAUUCUUCAUAAAAGUCAUGCAUACUUUACCCAAAUGCAUUGGACAAUGUCCUGUCAAUUACAUUUAUGUUGACAGACAUAUCUCCUGCCAAAUCCCUUCCAUUAUGCAACAACUAAUUUCUCACACAGUCUAAUUAUAGAAGCCAAUAACAUAAGGAACUCCCAUAAGAGAUGAGAUAGAUAGAGACAGACACUGACAGACAGACAGAAAGGAAAAGGGAAAAACAGAAAACAUACCUACAGUAAACUUAAUUCCUGUUCAUUUUGUAAACGAACAAUCCUUGCUGGUGAUUUCCAAACAAUUAAUAAUAUAUCAAAUACAGCACGAUUACCAUGCAAACAUUCAGGCAUUAAUUCAGUACUUGUGUAUGUUUGUCACACUGAAAAAAGUUAUGAUAGAAACAUAUAGCUAGAUGAAAAAUUUGCUAGUUAGCUUCUUGUCAAUGCCUGUAGCCAUGCAUGCAUAUGAAUAAAUAUGAAAUCUUUACAAAAAUUAUGCAAGCAAACCGUGUCAAACACCAUCAAGAAAAAUCACAUCUAUGAGAAGGCUCCUACAAUCCCAAUGAUCAGUAAUAGAUCAGCAAAUUGAUCUUUGCUAAACUGAAACUAUGCUUUCAGGUAGUAUUGUGUUGAUAUCAAGUGAAAACUGGUAAGUAAUCCAAACCCUCAAGACAGGCAUAUAGAAAUUAAAGUUAUAUAUGAAAGAAUCUGCAGUUGCGAAACUCCUGAUUUAUAAAAAUACUCUCCAAUUGAAAGUUGAUAAAUUUAUGACCUUAUUAAAUAAUUUUUAUCAUGCUUUUAGUUUAUAAUAAUCAUAUACAUAAGGCAUACCUCAAGAGUAUCAAUAGCAUUAAAACAUAUUCCCUCGGUGUUGAUAGUAUUAAUUAUGCUAUCUUGAAUCAAGAGUAGUAUGAUCUUAGCUACUUCCCAUGAUGUACCACGUUUAGACAUUUGAUUUUGAUGCUUUGCAAAUCAAAUCAAAGGGCAACCUGAAAUUAUAUAAAUUUUGGUUCUAUUUGCAGGAAUGGCUAUCAAUAAAUAAUGGAUGGAAAUUGGUGACAGACAUCAACCUGAAUAUAUGUAGGGGGUUGAGAUUUUUCUUAAUUUUGUAUUUGAACAUUCUUUGACACAGGAUGCAAUUCGAUGUCCUUAUAUCAAGCGUAGAAAUAUGAGUUUUAAAAGAAGAUCUAAUGUCAAGUUUCAUCUAUUAAAAUAUAGGAUUAUGAGAAAUUAUACAAUAUGAUACUAUCAUGGAGAAGAGGAUGAUUCUAUAGAGUUAGAUGAUCAUGAUGAUGCUGAUAAUGUAGGUGGUGGAGAGUUUUAUAUAGACGAUAUGGUUGGAUUGGUAAAUGAUGCUUUCUAUCAAACUAUUGAAGAUGUUGAUUCUGAUAAUGAGCAAAAUCAAUAUGAUUUUGAUGGUACAUGUAUAUCUGAAGAACCUAAUAUCGAAGCUACUAAAUUUUACCAUCUAUUGGAAGAAAUCCCAGAGACUUUAUUCCAGUUGUGAAUAUUCAAAACUAUCAAUUAUCAUUAAAUUGCUUCACCUCAAGUCGUUUCACAAAUGGACCAAUAGUUCAUUUGAUAAUUUGCUUGAUUAUUAAGGGUGCUAAUUCCUAAUGAGAAAAAGACAUUGCCCAAGUCAUAUUAUAGUGCAAGAAAGUAUUUUGCUGAACUUGGGCUUGAUUAUAUGAAGAUAGAUAUUUGUAAAAAUGAUUGUAUGAUUUAUUGGAAUAAAUAUGCCGAUGUAAGUAAUUGUCCCAUUUGUGGCUUGUCUAGAUGGAAGUCCAUUAGAGGUAAAGAAAAAAAAAUAUCUCUCAUAAGGUAUUACAUUAUUUUUCAUUAAAGAAGAGGUUACAAAGAUUGUAUAUGUCAAGCAAGAUAGUCUCCAAUAUGAGGUGGCAUAAAGAAAAAUGAGUAGAUGAUGGAUUAAUGGGACAUCCAGCAAAUACUAUUGCUUGGAAGUAAUUUGAUGAGCAAUAUAAAUUAUUUGCUAAUGAUUCUCAAAAUGUUUGGCUUGGUCUUGCUUGUGAUUGAUUUCAACUAUUUAAGAAUAUGAGCACACAACAUAGCAUUUGGCCAAUUGUUUCGGUUAAUUACAAUCUACGUCCUUGGAUGUGUAUGAAGGAACCUUAUCUGAUGUUGCCGCUACUAAUAUAUGAUCCAAACUCUCCUAGUAUGUAUAUAGAUAUGUAUUUACAAUCAUUGAUUAAAGAGUUGACAGAAUUAUAGAAAAUAGAUAUAGAAACUUAUGAUGCUCACACGAAACAAAAGUUUAGAUUGCAUGCAGCUAUAUAGUGGACUAUUAUGUAAUGAUUUUUCUGCAUAUAGUGAUUUUUAUGUAUACCAAGUAUAUGUGUUUCUUUUUAUUUAAAAUUUAUUAGAUAUUUAAUAUUUUCUUAUUAGUUAAAAUUGAAAUUACAAGACAAAAAGUAAAAAAAAAUCAUAAAACUACAAGGGUGCAAGAUGUAAACAUACUAACUCCAUUUGUGGAGUAUGAGUAUAAUAUGGUAUAUUCUUCCAUAUGCAAACUAAUUAUUAAUAUUUUUUUAUAGUAGAUUACUUAAUUUUGUUGAUACUUACUAGUGAACUUAUUUUUUUAUCAUUACAGAUAAAAAGGAAUGAUGGACAAAUGCCAGAUGCAGCUGAAAUUUGGUAUCAUGAGCAACUCGAAAAACAAAGG
Molecule: long non-coding RNA, 4215 nt
Filed under: Elaeis guineensis (African oil palm)
Lineage: Eukaryota; Viridiplantae; Streptophyta; Magnoliopsida; Arecales; Arecaceae
Description: long non-coding RNA (EGUI_LNC073448)
Source: RNAcentral